This 301-nucleotide ribosomal RNA is filed under the name uncultured bacterium. RNAcentral's name for it is "partial 16S ribosomal RNA". It matches the Rfam family "Bacterial small subunit ribosomal RNA", at positions 509 to 808 of the family's 1533-position model. The record is from RNAcentral.
CAGCAGCCGCGGUAAGACAGAGGAUGCAAGCGUUAUCCGGAAUGAUUGGGCGUAAAGCGUCUGUAGGUGGCUUUUCAAGUCCGCCGUCAAAUCCCAGGGCUCAACCCUGGACAGGCGGUGGAAACUACCAAGCUGGAGUACGGUAGGGGCAGAGGGAAUUUCCGGUGGAGCGGUGGAAUGCGUUGAGAUCGGAAAGAACACCAACGGCGAAAACACUCUGCUGGGCCGACACUGACACUGAGAGACGAAAGCUAGGGGAGCAAAUGGGAUUAGAUACCCCAGUAGUCCCUGUCCUUAUACA